AGUCGAGGGGCAGCAUGAACUUAGCUUGCUAAGUUUGAUGGCGACCGGCGCACGGGUGAGUAACACGUAUCCAACCUGCCGAUGACUCGGGGAUAGCCUUUCGAAAGAAAGAUUAAUACCCGAUGGCAUAGUUCUUCCGCAUGGUAGGACUAUUAAAGAAUUUCGGUCAUCGAUGGGGAUGCGUUCCAUUAGCUUGUUGGCGGGGUAACGGCCCACCAAGGCAUCGAUGGAUAGGGGUUCUGAGAGGAAGGUCCCCCACAUUGGAACUGAGACACGGUCCAAACUCCUACGGGAGGCAGCAGUGAGGAAUAUUGGUCAAUGGGCGCUAGCCUGAACCAGCCAAGUAGCGUGAAGGAUGACUGCCCUAUGGGUUGUAAACUUCUUUUAUAUGGGAAUAAAGUGCAGUAUGUAUACUGCUUUGCAUGUACCUUAUGAAUAAGGAUCGGCUAACUCCGUGCCAGCAGCCGCGGUAAUACGGAGGAUCCGAGCGUUAUCCGGAUUUAUUGGGUUUAAAGGGAGCGUAGGCGGGUUGUUAAGUCAGUUGUGAAAGUUUGCGGCUCAACCGUAAAAUUGCAGUUGAUACUGGCAUCCUUGAGUACAGUAGGGGUAGGCGGAAUUCGUGGUGUAGCGGUGAAAUGCUUAGAUAUCACGAAGAACUCCGAUUGCGAAGGCAGCCUGCUGGACUGUAACUGACGCUGAUGCUCGAAAGUGUGGGUAUCAAACAGGAUUAGAUACCCUGGUAGUCCACACAGUAAACGAUGAAUACUCGCUGUUUGCGAUAUACAGUAAGCGGCCAAGCGAAAGCGUUAAGUAUUC
This 816-nucleotide ribosomal RNA is filed under the name uncultured bacterium. RNAcentral describes it as "bacterial SSU rRNA". It matches the Rfam family "Bacterial small subunit ribosomal RNA", at positions 60 to 869 of the family's 1533-position model. The record is from RNAcentral.